CCAGGGUUCCCGUGAGGGGGAGGGGUUGCUGAGGCGCUCGGAGGUCCGAGGCCGGGUGGGGGGAGCCUUGAACGGAGGCGCGCGGGAGGCCCAGGGCAGGGGGCGCGCAGGGGAUGCCGGGCAGCAAGCGUUUCCACGGAGACGCGCCCCGCGACCACAGAACGGAAUGGCGCGGGGGCAGCAGGCCGUUGGGGGCCCGACUCCGCAAAGAAGGCGUCUUGGGACGGGGCCGCUAGCGGCCCGGAGUCCGGCCCCGCCCGCCGCUCGUAAUGUCGACCCCGGAGAUAAACGCCUCGGAGCCUCCUUCGGCUCCAACGCAUAAAGUGGGCUUCGCCAAAUACAGAUGGGAAUGCAAGCAAAGCUCCUACAACUACUUCAUCAAAACCGGUUCCGGGGAUUUAAAAGUGCUGUCUGUGAUAUUAUUGAUAGUGUCAUUUAUCUUGAUGAAAGAAACCCAAACAGCCAAUGUGUUCGUUCCAGUGGUCUUAAUGAUAGAGUCCUUCCUCUUUUUUUUCUUCAUUUUUGCUAAUGUCCUGGCAUUCCCAAGAUAUUUAACAAAGCUGAUCUGGCCCAUUUUUGACAUGCUCAAUGACUUUUUUGCAUUUAUAUACCUUGCAUAUGUUGGUUUCUAUUCAAUAAUUUACCCACCAGCCACCUUGGAGAAAUUAUACUGGCAAGUAGUUGGACUCAUACUUUCUGUUGCCUUCUUGUCUAUACUAGAUGUUAUUUUACAAGGCCGGCAUUUUUUGGAUUGGAGGACAAAAACUGGAAUAAAGUACAAAAGUGACUCUGCAACCAGAUCGAAGUCUCUGGACACUUAAAAUCUCAUAAAAAGCACAAAUAUGUAUCAUUUUUCUUUUUACUAGGAUGAUUUUCUUUUCCACUAAAAUUCCCAUUUUGACAUUUUCAUGGCAAAGCGCUUUCCCAAAAAAUAAAGAAUGUAUAAAAGUCUUUCCCAGAGGAAUACCAAUUUUAGCCUUACCAAAUACAGUUCUCUUCUAAUACCUCACCUUGGCAUAGACAGGAAUAGUCCUGGGUUCUCUGAGGCCAAAACAGCAGAAUUCAUUUUAAGUGCUUUAUAAAUGAUUCUUGUCUACCUGCCUGCAGGCUCUACCAGAUUGAGGCAGUCUUGAAUUUGGGCCUGGUAAUACCACAUCUGUCAUCAAGACACAAGACCUGCUGUUCAGAAGUACGUAACACUAUGAUAGCUUCAGGAUAACAGAAAUUUGGUUCACAGUAAUUCACUGGAACAUUUGCCGAGUCAAAAAUUGUGACCUGUAUUAGGGGAUGGGAGGCCUAAACUCAAGGGAUCAGAUCCUUGAAGAACUGAAAUAUCAAAUAAAAAAAUUCAGCUGGAAGAAUCUUUUGGUUUCUUAUAGGACAUAUUUUGUACUCAUUUAUUAACCUUAAUUGUCAGACCUUGGAAGGGAUCUUAGAAUAUAGAACACAAACCAUUAAGAUAGAUAAACCAUUGGUUAAUUUGAUUUUUUAAAAAGACCAAAGUAUCAGAAGUAUCAGAUGAAAAGGGUGAAUUUACAAAGAAACUAUCAUUAGGAAAUUGUCCCUAAUUACAUGCCAAUAUAUCUGAAUCUAAGCAAAAUUGACAAAUAUUUACAAAAAUAUAACUUGUUCAGAUUAAUAGAAGAAAUAGAAUAUAUAACUUCAUAUGGAAUCUACAGCUAGUAUUUAAAUUUUUUUGCAUUAUUUGGGGAACAUGGUUUAUUUUUGCUGUUUUAGUUCUUCCUGGUUUAGGUAACACCAUAUUUGUGGCCCAAAAGUAAUUUGGAAGGACUCAUUCACCUAUUUUUUCAAAUAGUUUCUAUAGUAUUGGAAUUGUUCUUUAAAUGUUUGGAGUUCAUUUGUGAACCUAGCUGAUCCUGGAAAUUUUUUCUGACGAGUUUAUUGAUGGCUUGUUCAAUUUUUUUUUUUCUAAGAUGAAGUUAUACCAAGAUAAGACCAAAAUGAGUACAUGAUUUACACACAAAGGGUGAAUAAGAAAAUGAGGAGAGCAAGGAAUAGUUUACCUGUCAGAUCAAUGGUAAAGGGAGGAAUUUAAGAUGAAACAAGAGAGCAUUACAAAAUGUAAAAUGGAUAAUUUUGAAUUGUUAAAUUUAAAAGGUUUUGCAUCAAGUCAAUGCAGCCAAGAUUAGAAGGGAAGCAGAAAUGUGAGAAAAAAUUUUUAUAGCCAGUGUCUCUGAUAAAGGCCUCAUUUCUCAACUAUAUAGAGAUUUGAAUCAAAUUUAUAAGAAUAUGAAUCAUUCCCCAGUUGAUAAAUGGUCAAAGGAUAAGUACAGGCAGUUUUCUGAUUAAAAAAUCAAAGCUGUCUAUAGAUACAUUUUUUAAAAUGCUAUAAAUCAUUGAUCAGAGAAAUGCAAAUUAAUACAACCAUUUUAGAGAAAAAGAGGUAGAAGGG
Sarcophilus harrisii (Tasmanian devil) is the source of this 2413-nucleotide long non-coding RNA. Lineage: Eukaryota; Metazoa; Chordata; Mammalia; Dasyuromorphia; Dasyuridae. The record is from Ensembl.